Molecule: small nucleolar RNA, 75 nt
Organism: Argentina anserina (silverweed cinquefoil)
Lineage: Eukaryota; Viridiplantae; Streptophyta; Magnoliopsida; Rosales; Rosaceae
Product: small nucleolar RNA U61
Exons: 1
Source: RefSeq, a predicted model, not a curated record
UGGCCGGGAUGAACACAUCUGUGCCAGAGGCUCUGCCUGUGACGGCUACACAACCCUCUAAGAAGUUCUGAGCUU